GCGAAUACCGGAGAAUGUUAUCACGGGAGACACACGGCGGGUGCUAACGUCCGUCGUGAAGAGGGAAACAACCCAGACCGCCAGCUAAGGUCCCAAAGUCAUGGUUAAGUGGGAAACGAUGUGGGAAGGCCCAGACAGCCAGGAUGUUGGCUUAGAAGCAGCCAUCAUUUAAAGAAAGCGUAAUAGCUCACUGGUCGAGUCGGCCUGCGCGGAAGAUGUAACGGGGCUAAACCAUGCACCGAAGCUGCGGCAGCGACACUGUGUGUUGUUGGGUAGGGGAGCGUUCUGUAAGCCUGUGAAGGUGGCCUGUGAGGGUUGCUGGAGGUAUCAGAAGUGCGAAUGCUGACAUAAGUAACGAUAAAGCGGGUGAAAAGCCCGCUCGCCGGAAGACCAAGGGUUCCUGUCCAACGUUAAUCGGGGCAGGGUGAGUCGACCCCUAAGGCGAGGCCGAAAGGCGUAGUCGAUGGGAAACGGGUUAAUAUUCCCGUACUUGGUGUUACUGCGAAGGGGGGACGGAGAAGGCUAUGUUGGCCGGGCGACGGUUGUCCCGGUUUAAGCGUGUAGGUGUGUGUUCCAGGUAAAUCCGGUUCACUUUAACACUGAGGCGUGAUGACGAGGCACUACGGUGCUGAAGCAACAAAUGCCCUGCUUCCAGGAAAAGCCUCUAAGCAUCAGGUAACAUCAAAUCGUACCCCAAACCGACACAGGUGGUCAGGUAGAGAAUACCAAGGCGCUUGAGAGAACUCGGGUGAAGGAACUAGGCAAAAUGGUGCCGUAACUUCGGGAGAAGGCACGCUGACACGUAGGUGAAGUGAUUUACUCAUGGAGCUGAAGUCAGUCGAAGAUACCAGCUGGCUGCAACUGUUUAUUAAAAACACAGCACUGUGCAAACACGAAAGUGGACGUAUACGGUGUGACGCCUGCCCGGUGCCGGAAGGUUAAUUGAUGGGGUCAGCGCAAGCGAAGCUCCUGAUCGAAGCCCCGGUAAACGGCGGCCGUAACUAUAACGGUCCUAAGGUAGCGAAAUUCCUUGUCGGGUAAGUUCCGACCUGCACGAAUGGCGUAAUGAUGGCCAGGCUGUCUCCACCCGAGACUCAGUGAAAUUGAACUCGCUGUGAAGAUGCAGUGUACCCGCGGCAAGACGGAAAGACCCCGUGAACCUUUACUAUAGCUUGACACUGAACAUUGAGCCUUGAUGUGUAGGAUAGGUGGGAGGCUUUGAAGCGUGGACGCCAGUCUGCGUGGAGCCGACCUUGAAAUACCACCCUUUAAUGUUUGAUGUUCUAACGUGGACCCGUUACCCGGGUUGCGGACAGUGUCUGGUGGGUAGUUUGACUGGGGCGGUCUCCUCCUAAAGAGUAACGGAGGAGCACGAAGGUUGGCUAAUCCUGGUCGGACAUCAGGAGGUUAGUGCAAUGGCAUAAGCCAGCUUGACUGCGAGCGUGACGGCGCGAGCAGGUGCGAAAGCAGGUCAUAGUGAUCCGGUGGUUCUGAAUGGAAGGGCCAUCGCUCAACGGAUAAAAGGUACUCCGGGGAUAACAGGCUGAUACCGCCCAAGAGUUCAUAUCGACGGCGGUGUUUGGCACCUCGAUGUCGGCUCAUCACAUCCUGGGGCUGAAGUAGGUCCCAAGGGUAUGGCUGUUCGCCAUUUAAAGUGGUACGCGAGCUGGGUUUAGAACGUCGUGAGACAGUUCGGUCCCUAUCUGCCGUGGGCGCUGGAGAACUGAGGGGGGCUGCUCCUAGUACGAGAGGACCGGAGUGGACGCAUCACUGGUGUUCGGGUUGUCAUGCCAAUGGCACUGCCCGGUAGCUAAAUGCGGAAGAGAUAAGUGCUGAAAGCAUCUAAGCACGAAACUUGCCCCGAG
RNAcentral lists this ribosomal RNA (1865 nucleotides) under Salmonella enterica. RNAcentral's name for it is "partial 23S ribosomal RNA". It matches the Rfam family "Bacterial large subunit ribosomal RNA", at positions 956 to 2803 of the family's 2925-position model. The record is from RNAcentral. Lineage: Bacteria; Pseudomonadati; Pseudomonadota; Gammaproteobacteria; Enterobacterales; Enterobacteriaceae. RNAcentral also lists the same sequence under 2 other names.